CCUACGGGGGACAGCAGUGGGGGAUAUUGCACAAUGGGGGAAACCCUGAUGCAGCGACGCCGCGUGUGGGAAGACGGUCCUCUGGAUUGUAAACCACUGUCCCCAGGGACAAAGAUGACGGUACCUGGGGAGGAAGCUCCGGCUAACUACGUGCCAGCAGCCGCGGUAAUACGUAGGGAGCGAGCGUUGUCCGGAAUUACGGGGUGUAACGGGAGCGUAGGCGGGACUGCAAGUUGGGUGUCAAAUCUACCGGCUCAACCGGUAGCCGCACUCAAAACUGCAGUUCUUGAGUGAAGUAGAGGCAGGCGGAAUUCCUAGUGUAGCGGUGAAAUGCGUAGAUAUUAGGAGGAACACCAGUGGCGAAGGCGGCCUGCUGGGCUUUUACUGACGCUGAGGCUCGAAAGUGUGGGGAGCAAACAGGAUUAGAUACCCGUGUAGUC
RNAcentral lists this ribosomal RNA (440 nucleotides) under uncultured bacterium. Its description in RNAcentral is "partial 16S ribosomal RNA". It matches the Rfam family "Bacterial small subunit ribosomal RNA", at positions 338 to 795 of the family's 1533-position model. The record is from RNAcentral.